RNAcentral lists this ribosomal RNA (465 nucleotides) under Vreelandella stevensii. Its description in RNAcentral is "partial 16S ribosomal RNA". It matches the Rfam family "Bacterial small subunit ribosomal RNA", at positions 338 to 795 of the family's 1533-position model. Lineage: Bacteria; Pseudomonadati; Pseudomonadota; Gammaproteobacteria; Oceanospirillales; Halomonadaceae. The record is from RNAcentral.
CCUACGGGGGGCUGCAGUGGGGAAUAUUGGACAAUGGGCGAAAGCCUGAUCCAGCCAUGCCGCGUGUGUGAAGAAGGCCUUCGGGUUGUAAAGCACUUUCAGUGGGGAAGAAAGCCUUGGGGCUAAUACCCUCGAGGAAGGACAUCACCCACAGAAGAAGCACCGGCUAACUCCGUGCCAGCAGCCGCGGUAAUACGGAGGGUGCGAGCGUUAAUCGGAAUUACUGGGCGUAAAGCGCGCGUAGGCGGUCUGAUAAGCCGGUUGUGAAAGCCCCGGGCUCAACCUGGGAACGGCAUCCGGAACUGUCAGGCUAGAGUGCAGGAGAGGAAGGUAGAAUUCCCGGUGUAGCGGUGAAAUGCGUAGAGAUCGGGAGGAAUACCAGUGGCGAAGGCGGCCUUCUGGACUGACACUGACGCUGAGGUGCGAAAGCGUGGGUAGCGAACAGGAUUAGAUACCCUAGUAGUC